Russula vinacea is the source of this 82-nucleotide non-coding RNA. NCBI's taxonomy places the organism in Eukaryota, Fungi, Basidiomycota, Agaricomycetes, Russulales, Russulaceae. The record is from the annotation of a GenBank genome assembly.
GUCUGUUAGCUCAGUUGGCUAGAGCACUACUUCACUAACUUAGUUCAUUUAGGGGUCCUGGGUUCAAUUCUGAGCAUGGGCA